RNAcentral lists this long non-coding RNA (275 nucleotides) under Daucus carota (carrot). Its description in RNAcentral is "long non-coding RNA (DCAR_LNC006778)". Lineage: Eukaryota; Viridiplantae; Streptophyta; Magnoliopsida; Apiales; Apiaceae. The record is from RNAcentral.
CAUUCUCUAUAAGUAAAGAGUUGCCCCAGGAUAUAUUACACAAAACCAAGAUUAUAUGUAACUUGCAAAUCUGCUACCACUUGGGUAAUGGGUCUUGACUACUUGAAGAUUGAUAUGCCUUGCAAGUUACUAGAGUCAAUACAAUGGCAUAACUAUCAAAGCAGAUUUGAGACAAAAUGACAUAACAUCAGUGGCCUGAGCUUGAAUGCACAUCUACCCUCUUGACGAGUGCUGUAUUCUAGUGAGAAGAACCAUUGUGUAAAACCUCUUUGUCC